UUAGAUUUCAAAACAGCCUUAUCAGUUAAAACACAUGAAAAAACAAUAUCUAUUCAAGAAAAAUAUGUGACGCCCCACUUCUCCCUAAAGCGAACCAAAGGGUAUCCGCGGGACGUCUGCCCAACUCUCGCCAGGACUCAUUACAUUCCACAAUUCACAAACUCGGAAUACCUCAAUAAUACUUCAAAUAACUUCAAUACAUAAUAAAAGUACUCCAAAAUAUCUCACACUUACAAUUAAUCAGCUCUCAAGCUUAAUACAUCUCAAAAGAAUAUUUACUACAGCCAUCUGCUGUAAUACAAUUUAAAAUCUUCAAAAGAAGGCAAUCUAGUACUAUUCACGUGCACUCUUGGUCUCGAACCCUAUUAAAAAAAUCCAAAACGUGGGAUGAGCUACACAGCCCAGUGAGGUUCCAAAACACUCUAGCAGUUCUAAUAAAUCAAGUAAUUGAGCAUACUGCAUGUAUGGUUCAAGGUUGCACAUUGACAUAUUAAUAUGAGACAAUAAUCAUUGUACAAGUAAUUUGAGCAUAUCACAGGUAUGGCACAUUUGCAUGAAACGGUUAUCAUUAUGUAAAAUAAACACACAUUGAAGGAUACGGUGUUCCAGUGAAACCAUGUCGGUCAUCUACACCUUAUAACUUCCGGAUCCCCACGGUACUGUCUGGCCAUCGCCUUAUCCUUUCAGUGGUAGUACUGAUCCAGUCAAGAAUAGAAUUCCAGUACGAGUAGUGAAGGAACUGACUCUUAUCAAAAGGAGGACGGGACUCGAGUAUACCGAAACGGUGACUCAGGGUUCCAACCUACCCGACCGAGCCCAGUCCUGACUCGAGUAGGUCAGUAACCAAAGGUAGGAUCCAAGUUCAGUUUAGAGCUUACAGCAUGCACAAGUAAUCAAAUAAUUUGGCAAACAGUAAAAAUUUAUUCUUUUGGUAGGUCGAGUGAGAUAAAAUGCACACUCGCCUUAAAAUGGUGGACAAUUUCAUAUGAGCAAUUACUAGCAAUAAUUAACACAUAAACACAUAAGUAAUAUUUAAAAAUUUCAUGUGAACAUGUAAUUUAUGGUAAUCAAGUAAUCAAGUAAGCAGGUAGUCAAAUAGAUUAGAAAACGGUAAGUAAACACGGUUAACGGUAAAUAGUAAACGGUAAACGGUAAACGGUUAACGAUAGUAAUUAUAGUUAAUUGGUAGACAUAUGUCAUUUUAAUAGGCCGCAUUUGGCCGUGUCCCACUAUUACCAUGUAAGAGUCGAGAAGAUUCACUCCAAUCGACUUGAGCUGCCAUAGCAUAAUUAAUCAUUUAAACACAUCACAUAAAUAUGCAAAUCAAGUAUUUCAUAUCGAGUAAUUCAAGUAGUCAUGUAAAUAUGCUCUUCAAACAUUUCAUAUCGAGUAAUUCAAAUAUACCUUACUUAAAUAUGCAUGAGUGUGGUAAAUACUUAACAUGUAGCACUUAACACUUAAUGAUCAUGGAAUAAGCAUGUCAUAGACUUAUUCAAAUUACGUACUCCUAUAUGGAACACUCGCUUAUUCAGAACAAGUGAGUAAGUACGCAAAAAAGUGUUUAGGCGUCCACUUCGAGUUCCUCUUGAAGGUUUCCUUGGGCGCCUAAGCAAAUAACCAUCAAUUAUUAUACACUAUCACUUAGAACCUCUACUUAUCAAAGAAUGUUGUACUAGUGUAUAAUCUAAGGAAAAUUCAUGAAUUGAGCCUUAAUUAUUCAUAAUCGAGGCUCGGUAGUGGCGUUCAAAAACACAAGAGAAAUCUGAUUGUUGCCUUUGAAAUCAAGUGUAAAAUGGUCUAGCAAUAUCGGAGGAAAAUGAAGAGUUUGAAACCCUUAAUUUCCUUUAAGUUCGGAAAUUUCAGAUUCGGCAAGCAAAUUUUGAAAAAUCAGAUCUCACUCUCUAUGAGUCCAAAAUUGGAAAACUUAGUACCGUUGGAAACUACAUCCAAAUUACUAAAAGUUUCUAGAAGAACUUUUCCAUAAUUCCAAAUGAAUGACAUUCAAAAGUUGGCUCAAAGUUACUGCUUUAGAAUACCAAGACAGUUUCAAGGUUGGUUUCUGGGCAACUUUGGAAAUUAGGUAAAAUUCACACGUUGCAAACCAGCCUCCAAAAUUUGUAACUCAAUUAGAGUUAUAAUCAAAGUUUAAAACAAAACAAGUGGAGAAAGAAUCAGAGUUUUGAGCACCAAGAUAUGGUAGUUCAAAAUUAGUGAAAAUGUGAAACUGUUACGUAAAUUCCAAGUUUAAUUCACAAAUUUGGGACUUUGAUUGAAUAUCGAAAUGGACUCAGAAUGGCACCAAAUUUGGUAGUAUUAUCCUACCAUAUAAGGGCUAUUUCUCUACCAAAUUUCAUACGAAAAUUCAUUCGGAAAGUUGGUUAACGAAAUCACUAAAGUCCCAAGAAGUUCUUCGGCAAAUCUGCCUUGGACUUCCGUUUUUCCGUUUUCAAAACGUUUGGCCAAUAAAAUACCUCAAACACGGUUCAUUUCAGUAGAUAAUGUCUAAAAUAUGUCCAAAGUACAUUUGAUAGAUGAUUAACACCAAAAAUUUCGGAUAACAAACCCCAAACUAAGAUUAGUUAAGGAUCAGUCCAAAAUGAAGAAUUUCAUAACUGAGUCAGUUUCAAACUUUGGCCACAACUCACUCAAUUCAACUCAAAAUUGAGCGUGGUUGAUGGCGUUAGAAAACACAUUCAUAAAGAUAAAAUUUAUCAGAAGAAACUAUUUACGAAAUCUAUCCACAACUAGCCCCAAUUUGAGCAUCAAGUUGUAGUUCCUGUUCUGCCUUCCAGUGAACCCGAGAAACAGAACAGUCAAGUUCAAAUGAGUGGUAUGGUUUGUUCGAGUAGAAUCAGGAUGUGUAUUUUAUACCAUUAGAAAGCUAGGGAUGUCUAGUUUCCAGUUCCGCAAACAGCACUCGAUUUUGACAUCGGAAUAAAAAGAUAUAACCAAAACAAAAACACUGUCUGGAUGAAUACAGGAAUAGUUUCCAAAUUUCUAAGCUUUCGUAAAUCCAACAUUUGGGUGACCAAAACAAGUUAUUUUUCAAUGAAACUUUUUACACAACCAAUAUAACAUGUAAAUAAUAUAAACAAGCCAUUAGAACCUCAAAAUUUUGCACAAAAAAAAAGGUCGGACAAGGCAGGGGUAAAAUGGUCACUUUUGCUCCAAGCACCUCCUUUGAUUUUCUACCAACAAUAUAACAUUAAUCCACUAAUUUAAACACUAAACCACCAUUAAUUUCAUCAUCAAUCAUCAAAUCAGUCCUUCUAUCAAAAGUGGGAAUUCAUAGAGCCCACACACCAAAAUUCAAUAUAAAUAAAGCUACCCACAUGAAAAUACAAGCUUAUAAGUACAAUACUACUUCCAUAAACUAAGAUUCAAGAGGUUGAUCGUCUAUUACCUCUUUAGAUGAUAAAAUCAGAAAUUUUGGUCACAAAAAACUCUAAGAAAAAUCGUGAGAUGAUGUCCUUCUUCUAGUUUAAGAUAAUCACCAAGUGUUUAGCAAUGUGUGUUCAAAGUUUGAUGUGAUUUGGUGAAAAAUUAGUGAAGAUUUGAAGAAGAAAUUGAAGAAGAAACUUGGUUCUUUUCUCUCUUGAGGUGCACGGCUGGAAU
Molecule: long non-coding RNA, 3615 nt
Filed under: Coffea arabica (coffee)
Lineage: Eukaryota; Viridiplantae; Streptophyta; Magnoliopsida; Gentianales; Rubiaceae
Description: long non-coding RNA (CARA_LNC005005)
Source: RNAcentral